GGUCCCUGGUGUAGAGGUAGCACAACGCACUUUGGAUGCGUUAGCUCAGGUUCGAUUCCUGGGGGACCA
This 69-nucleotide transfer RNA is filed under the name marine sediment metagenome. RNAcentral describes it as "tRNA-Gln". It matches the Rfam family "tRNA". From Rfam's summary of the family: Transfer RNA (tRNA) molecules are approximately 80 nucleotides in length. The record is from RNAcentral.